Molecule: ribosomal RNA, 408 nt
Filed under: uncultured bacterium
Lineage: Bacteria
Description: partial 16S ribosomal RNA
Rfam family: Bacterial small subunit ribosomal RNA
Source: RNAcentral
GACGAACGCUGGCGGCGUGCUUAACACAUGCAAGUCGAACGAAGUGGCGAACGGGUGAGUAACGCGUAAUCAACCUGCCCUUCAGAGGGGGACAACAGUUGGAAACGACUGCUAAUACCGCAUACUGAAGGAGGGGAUUGCGUCGGAUUAGCUUGUUGGGGGGGUAACGGCCCACCAAGGCGAUGAGCGGUAGCCGGGUUGGGAGGAUGAACGGCCACAAUGGGACUGGGAAACGGCCCAGACUCCCUCGGGAGGCAGGCGUGGGGAAUCUUCCGAAAUGGACGAAAGUCUGGCGGAGCAACGCCGCGUGAGUGAUGGCGGCCUUCGGGGUGUAAAGCUCUGUUAAUCGGGACGCGGUACCGGAAUAGAAAGCCACGGCUAACUACGUGCCAGCAGCCGCGGUAAUAC